UUAAACACCAACUAUAUUUUAUUAUACUGACAAUUUAUUAACUUUUUAGGUGCAAUAAUGGUAAUAAAAAUCCUUAUCUUUUAGAGAUACAUGCUAAAACAUUUACAGAUUAAAUUGGUAUGAUAUCUGGUUUUGCUUCAAAAUAAUCUUGGUUAGGGGGAAAGUAGUUGAGGGAAUAAAUAAACCAAGAUUGGCCAUGAAUUGAUAAUUAUUGAAGCUGGGUCCCUGGGAAUUCAUUACACUAUUUUCUCUAUUUUUGUAUAUGCUUGAUACUUUAUAUAAUAUAAAGCAAAAAAUAAUGGCAAAUGAUUAAACGACAUUAAAUGCAUAAGAACUACAGGUUGUUUGAGAUCAUUUAAAAAGAGAGUGAAACAAAAAAAUCAUUGAACACCAUUAGAAGUUGUUAGGACAUAACUACUUUGAAAACGGUAAGGGAAGAGAUUUAAGCAUUUAUCUUGCCAUUCUGGUAUGAAUUUUAUUUCGGAGUAAUCAAAUGGUCCUAGAGGAUGUGAAAAAGGUUUUCUGUACAGAAUUAGAGCUAAUAAAUGAGGAAAAAUUAAUAGCCUUAGAAAAUCACCAUUCUGUAAUCCCUAGUGAAACAAGCAAUUCAUAAAAUGAUAAUCAACGGAUAGUAAAACAACUUGGUGAAAAAUUGACCGGAAACUUUAUGAUGCUGGGAUGAGGCUAUCACCAUCUGAAAAUAAAAGAAGCCUGGGAGCUGGAGUGGACAGUGGAGGAGAGCUGUCCAACCAGAAACACCCGUGCCAUGUAGAAUAAGUUAAAAAUAAAUCUGUGGUGUUAAAUCACUGAAAUAUGGGAGCAAUUCAUUACAGAAGUUGGCUUACCAUAAAAGUAUACCAUUUAUAUAUAUUAAAACACAUAGGCACAUAAUUACAUAUAUUUUCAAAGAUACAUACAUAUCCAAACAUAUACUGACACAGGGAGAGGAAUGAGAAUAGGGAUGAGGGAUCAAAAGAAGAGGCCAGGCACAGUGGCUCACACCUGUAAUCCCAGCACUAUGGGAGGCUGAUGCAGGAAGACUUCUCAAGGCCAGGAGUUCAAGACCAGGCUGAGCAACACAGUAAGACCCAAUCUCUAAAAAAAAUUUUUUUUUAAUUAGCUGGACAUGCUCGUGUGCACUUGUAGUCCUACUCAGAAGGCUGAGGUGGGAGCAUUGCUUGAGCCCAGGAGGUCAAAGUUACAGUGAGCCAAGAUCACAUCACUGUCCUCCAGCCUGGGUGACAGUGAGACCCAGUCUCUUAAAAAAAUAAUAAUUUUUUUUUUUGACACGGAGUCUCGCUCUGUCGCCCAGGCUGGAGUGCAGUGGCAUGAUCUCGGUUCACUGCAACCUCUGCCUCCUGGGUUCAAGCAAUUCUCUUGCCUCAGCCUCCUGAGCAGCUGGGACUACAGGCAUGCGCCACCAUGCCCAGAUAAUUUUUGUAUUUUUAGUAGAGAUGGGGUUUCACCAUGUUGGCCAGGCUGGUCUCGAACUCCCGACCUCAGGUGAUCCACCUUCCUCGGCCUCCCAAAGUGCUGGGAUUACAGGCAUGAGCCACCGUGCCCAGUCUAAAAUUUUUUUAAAAAAGAAGAAAAUAAAAUAAGAAAGGGGCCUGGUGAUGGAAUUCACUAUGCUAUGAGAAGCAUGGUUUAACUAUUAAAUAAUUAAAAAUAACAAUUUAAAAAGAAGACAACUAAUCAAUCUGCCCUUUCCAGAGAGAACCCAGGUUAGUUCACUGGGAAUAUAAUUAUCUUCAGCCUUGGGGAAUAGGAGCACAGAAUGGUUCUGGAGAGGAGACAGUGUUGAGGAAUCCUCCACUGUGGUUACCAGGAAGGUCUCAGGUCUAAAACGAUUCCUAAACUGAGGCUUUCUCCUAAGCCUGAUCUUCAUCUUUGGCUCUCCCUGGUGGUGAUGGUACAGGAGGCAUUUGACAUUCUCUAGACAUGGGGUCUGGACCUGCCACCUCCGCCUUGGUACCACCUCUCAUUCCAGGCUAGGGGAGGCUGGACAAAGCACAGAGGUUCAUUCUGGGCCUGGGUGCAUCCUCCUGCCCACUUUCCACCCUGCCUGUGUCAGGCUAAAAGCCCCUCUCCCAAAGAUGUCCAAUUCCUAAUCCCCAGGACCUGAGGAUAAAUAUAAAUUUUCUUUUAAGAGAAGAGUCUUACUAUAUUGCCCAGGCUGGCCUGAACUCCUGGGCUCAAGUGAUCCUCCAGCCUCAGCCCCCUGAGUAGCUGGGACUACAGACACUCACCAGCUGCUUAACCUGUGAACAUUUUAUCUUAAAUGGUAAAAGGGACUUUGAAGGCAGGAUUUAAUUAAGGAUCUUGCCAAUGGGAAGAUGAUACUGAAUUAUCCCAGUAGACCCAAUGUAAUCCUUACAAGUGAGAGGCAGUAGAAUUAGAGAGAUGUAGGGAUGGAAACAGAGGUUAGAGAGGAGAGAAGAUGCUCUGCUGCUGGCUUUGAAGAUGGUGAAAAGAGCCACGAAUCAAGCACUGCAAGCAGCAUCUAGAAGCUGGAAAAAGCAAGGAAACAUUCUUCCCUGGAGCCCACGGAAGGAGUGUAGACCUGUCAACACUUUGACUUUAGCCUGGUGAAGCUGAUUUUGGACUUCUGAACUGUAACAUAAUAAUUUUGUUUUUUGAGCCACUUUGUGGUAAUUCAUUACAGUGACAAUAGGAAACUAAUGUCCUGCCCCAGCUUCUGGGCAGCACUAAUCUGUUCUCCUAGGAGAGUAGGGUCUAAGUGAGUGUAUGGCAUGGGUAGGGAAUCAGAGGAGGCUUCCUGGAAGCCCCUGCAGUCAGGUUGAUCUGGGUUAUUACAGCUCAUUUGUUACUUAACUGACCUUGAGCAAAUUUAUAAGUAAGACUAUUGUUAACAAUGCACUGUUUAUAGGAUUGCUAAAAAGUAAAUUUAAAAAUAUUUUCAAUUAUCUAAUUUGUAAAUUAGCAACUUUUUUUUUCAGUCACAUCUCCUUGUGGGCUUACACAUAUUCAUUCUUCCAUUCACUGAACAGGUGUCACGGAACACCCAGUGUGUGCCUGGCACCAUACACACAAUGAGCUUGUGUCUGCUACAACUCUCAAGCAUUUCUCACUGAAGCUGUCACUGAGCUUCCAGUUAGCUCAGUGCUCAACCUCAAUGCCUCCAUCCUAAAUGCAGGCCUCAGCCGGGCAUGGUGGCUCAAGCCUGUAAUCCUAGCACUUUGAGAGACCGAGGCGAGUGAAUCACUUGAGGUUAGGAGUUUGAGACCAGCCUGGCCAACAUGGUGAAACCCCAUCUCUACUAGAAAUACAGAAAUUAGCUGGGUGGUAGUGGCGUGUGCCUGUAGUCCCAGCCACUCAGGAGGCUGAGGCAGGAGAAUCGCUCGAGCCUGGUAGGCGGAGGUUGCGGUGAGCCGAGAUCAUGCCACUGCGCUCCAGUCUGGGCGACAGAGUGAGACCCUGUCUCAAAAUAAAUAAAUAAAUAAAUAAAAUAAAUAAAUGCAGGUCUUUACAAUGCCCACUCCCAUGGUCUCUUGUCUCAGCCAGCACCGCCCCCGCUUAUCCCCCCAGGCACUGUUUCUGCAGCUUUCAUGAGCAGCCUCUUCUUUGUCUUUACUCUGACCCCGGACAAAAGCCCCCAGUGCACUUGAGGGCAGUAUGCGCCCUCUGAUAUUUUCCACACCCCGUUUUCAUCCCAUCCUCUCCUCUCUCUGCAUUUCUGCCCUUUUUCUUACCUUCUCCUUCUUUGAGCUCCCAAACAGCUGUACCCUAUAAGCCAGAAAAGUCUAGUUAGAGAGAAGCUGAGCCUCAACCAGCCAAGUUAGAGGCAGGUAGAAGGGACCAAAGAUAUGUGUUUACUGGAGUUUCCGGGCUUCUCUGGUGGUGAACUGAAAUCUAAGGUAUUCAGCCAGGAUGCCUAGACCUAAGCGGAAUACCCAGGCAGCCUCACUCACCCCAGCUUUCCAGCCCCACAACACUCUCAGGUGCUAUCCAAUUGACCCGUAAUUCCCUGACCUGUGGAGCCACACCUACUUCUGCAAGACCCAUCUAAGUUUCCUAAUUUCACAGCUCCCCACCCCCACCUCUGCUUCUAACCUCCAGGUCUGAAAUGCUGAGCUCUGUUCCUAUGAUGUCUGGAGCUACUAGCCCUCCUUCCCAGAAAAAUGGUGGGUCCAGGAUUGAUUUUUCCUCCUAUCUGUGAUCCAGACUAGUGCAUCCUUCACCCCUUCAUCCAGUCCAGGCCCAGGGUUUUCUUUCCUGCAGCUCUUCCUCUAAAGACUAAGCUGCCUCUUUAGGAAGAGGUGAGAACGCAAACAUUGUAACAGGGGCAAAAUUGCUUUCAGUCCCUUUGGGCUUCAGUGGUGUUGACUGGCCAGGUGAUGGAGCUGUGGGCAUGUGGGCUUGUGAUCUGGGUUUUCUGACCUGGACGUCGCCACAACUUUACAAUGGGUGAUGCUGGGCAAGUCUAUGCCCUCUUUAGGUCUGACUCACUAGCCUUUCUGCGCACUGACGGGGGCUGGUCUUUAGAAGGCCAUGUUUUAUUUGAGCUUGGAGGUUCCACACAGCAACUCCAGCAGUGGUGCAUAAUGGCCACAAGAGGGCGGGCAACCUCUUCAGCUCAUAAGUGUGUAGACUGAACAAGUGAACCUCAAAUAAGAAUACUAUACAGUGUCUUCCAAGAAGGGUAUAAUUCCAUGAACAAUGUUGCUGAAGAGAAAAAAAAAAGAAAUAAAGGCUGGGCAUGGUGGCUCAGGCCUGUAAUCUCAGCACUUUGGGACGCUGAGGUGGGAGGAUUGUUUGAGCCCAGGAGUUUGAGACCAGCCUAGGCAACAUGACAAAACCCUGUCUCUAGAAAAAAUACAAAAAGUAACCCGGGCAUGGUGAUGCGUGCCUGUAGUCGCAGCUACUUAGGAGGCUGAGGAGGAUC
This 4906-nucleotide long non-coding RNA is filed under the name Homo sapiens (human). Its description in RNAcentral is "HSALNT0006264". The record is from RNAcentral. Lineage: Eukaryota; Metazoa; Chordata; Mammalia; Primates; Hominidae.